Molecule: ribosomal RNA, 333 nt
Filed under: Triticum aestivum (bread wheat)
Lineage: Eukaryota; Viridiplantae; Streptophyta; Magnoliopsida; Poales; Poaceae
Description: partial small subunit ribosomal RNA
Source: RNAcentral
AUGAAGAAUCUUGAGGAGUUUGAGCUGAAGGAGGCACAUUCAGAACUCGUUGACGCACAGGCUACCAAAUGGCAGAACCAGAAGUCACCAGUGACUGGCUUUGAGACACCCAUCAAGUCUGUGAUAGGUAAUUGCACAGCUCAAGGUUUGGAUGUUCAGAAUGGCGGAGAGGUUCAGCUGGUAGUCAGUUGUGCCGACAAAGUUGAUCAAGAGCCACCUGAUGGCAGAAAGAUAAUGAGUACAAUGUAUGGUAGGCUAGAGUCUCUUUGCGGCAGCACUCCCGGAAAGUUCAGAAAGCUUGACGGAACAGGACUCAUGUGUGAAAUGCGGUAA